GAACGCACCCGAUCUCGUCUGAUCUCGGAGUGAACC
Ribosomal RNA from Ochotona princeps (American pika), 36 nucleotides. NCBI's taxonomy places the organism in Eukaryota, Metazoa, Chordata, Mammalia, Lagomorpha, Ochotonidae. The record is from Ensembl.